UGGCUCUGGCAUCGAUGAAGAACGCAGCGAAAUGCGAAAAGUAAUGUGAAUUGCAGAAUUCAGUGAAUCAUCGAAUCUUUGAACGCACAUUGCGCCCGCCAGUAUUCUGGCGGGCAUGCCUGUCUGAGCGUCAUUUCAACCCUCGCCCCCGGGUCCUAGCACCCGGAGGCGGCGUUGGGGAUCGGCCGGGCCUCCCCCCCCCCGUUGCGGGGGGGAGGUGGCCGUCCCCGAAAUAUAGUGGCGGACCCGCUGUGGCCUCCCCUGCGCAGUAGCACUAUUUCGCAUGUGGAGAGCGGCGAGACCCUGCCGUGAAACCCCCUACUUCUCAAGGUUGACCUCAGAUCAGGUAGGAAUACCCGCUGA
Molecule: unclassified non-coding RNA, 363 nt
Filed under: uncultured fungus
Lineage: Eukaryota; Fungi
Description: partial contains 5.8S ribosomal RNA and internal transcribed spacer 2
Rfam family: 5.8S ribosomal RNA (bases 1-133)
Source: RNAcentral